CGCCCCCGCUGCGCCCGGCCUUGCGCGGCGUCAGCGCUGGGAUCCCUGAGCUGUGCGACGCGCAAGCCUCCCAACACGCUGCCUGGUCCCCGGCCCGCAGCCAGCUCUUUGCCUCCACCCCUCGCCACGGUCUCGCAGCGUCCACGAGGGUCGGCUCCUGAAGCUCGGUCCCCAGGGCAGGUCAGGCUCAGGCAUAGCCACAGCACUUCUCCAUCUGCCCUGCCUGCCCUUGGUCUUCACUCCUCACACACUCUCAGCCUAGUGCCUCCCAUCCUCUUAGUAAAAGCUGCAGCAAAAGGUCAGAAGAAGCUUGGAAGCAAAGACACAUCCUUAGCAGCUGCAGCACAUGGAGGAGGCCCCACUGGCCAGAAAUUGGAGAACAGCCAAGAUGGUCCUGUUAAAACCUGAGUCAGAUCAGGUCCCUUCUGGACUCACAAGCUUCCAGUGGCUCCCAACUCACUCAGAGUAAGUAAAGCCCAAUCUUUAAUGCCCUACUGCUAGAUACAGCAUUUACCCCAAACCAUAUCUAAGAAGCAAACCUCCCUCAAUGUAGCAGGGAGAAUCUAUCAUUGAGAUUCCAUGGCAGGAAGGAGAGAACAAAGCCAGGUGGUGCUCUUCAAAACAGAUGACAGAAGAUUUCUCUUCACAGCAGUGAAAACCUCUAAGGUUCUUUUCCUCCAAAGCAAUUGCUUCCCUACUUCUACAUAAUCAAGUAUAGACAAGGGCCUCGAAAGUAUAUAAAUUAUAUUGGUUAAAUAUUGUAUGACCUUGUCUAUAAAACUAUUUGGGCCUGGUGCCUUUUUGGAGUGAUCUUUGCUCCAUGCUUGAAUUUCACAUUUCACACAUUUUACCAAGAUAUGUCUGACUCUAGACUCCUUCUCUUUUUAUCAUUACUACUCUGUUUGGUGUAGCCUUUUAAUCUGGAAACUCAUGCCUUUCUUCAGUUCAGGGAAAUGUUCUUCUAUUAUAUCCUGUUUUCCCCUAGACAGCUGCAUGGAUUCCUCCAUUGCAUAUUCAGGUCUCUGCUCGGAUGCCACCUUAUCACAGACACCUUCCUCGUUCACCCCAUCUAAAACAGCACAUCUGCUGCCCUCAGUUUCCUGGUCUCUGUUUAUUUUGUUUCAUGAUCCUGAUGUUUAUAUUAUUUGUUGAUUUGUUUCUUGCCUAUGUCUCCCACUAGCUGACAAGCUCCUUAAGAGCAUGGACUUGUAUUUUUUUAUUCACUCCUAUAUCCCCAGGACUUGUAUUUUUUUAUUCACUCCUGUAUUCCCAGCACAAUUCCGAAACAUGUUGAGGAAAUGAGAUUUUCUUCCAGCCCAGGUAAAACUGCCAAUGGAUAUGGGGUCUUUGGAGAAGCUCUUCAAGGUCGGGCGCUGUCUUCCACAGCACUGUAGCCACCAAUAUUGUCCUCAUCCCCUGUCCCACUCACACACCUGAGACCUCCAGCCUCCCCACUAGCUCCCACCUGCCUGGGGGUCUGAGCCCAGUCUACUCUGCCAGGAAUCAUUUUGAGGGCCCCAUUCAGUGGCUCAAUGGUCUGUGCACAAAGGGCCCACUGUGGCCAUCAAGCCCUGUGGCCUCCCACAGUGAAUAACUUCUCCUCAUCCUUCCCAAGUGGGAAGCAACAAUUUCCCCUACUCUCAGCUCCCAUGUCUCCAGCCCUGCUUCAAGGGUCUCUGACCAGAGUCCCCUACCUUCUGACCAGCUCUUCCUCUGAGGGCUGGGGUGCUGAAGAGACCCUAUCCAUUCUGGGCUCAGGAAGUGGUUUUGAGCUGGGGGCUAGGGAAUAGGCAGGCAGAAGGGCUGAGGAUGUCCCGGGGCCAGAAAAAACAUACUGCAGGAGGUUGCUCAGGCUGGGCCAGACCCUUUCCCCACCAAGCAGGCCCCUGGUGCUGUGUAGACAAGAGGUUAGGUCUGUUUUGACACCAGGCAACUCAGAUGAGGGUCCAUCCCUCUCUCAUGACCAGUGUCAUCCCCACCCCAGCCCCCCCAGCCCUGAGCACACCUAACUCUGAGGAACAUCAGCCCAGGGACCUGGGGACCUGACAGUCCAAGAAGACACAGAAAAGGGCUGAGUCCUGAGAGCCUCUGACCCUGAUUCUGAGCACUGGCAAAGCCCCAGGGACACCCCCGGUCUGGAGGAUCCAGGAGCAGCAGGAGCUGAGAGCUCCAGCUUCCCCUGGUCCAUGGACACACCAGUGUGGUUCUGGGGUCAAUGUGGUUCUGGGCUCUUUGGCUUCCCCUCAUCACUGUCUCUGCCAUGAACCAUGGUCUCUCUGAAGCCUGACAGAUUCCAGACAGGCAGGCAGCCUGGGCCCCAGCCCAGUGGGGCUGUAUAUGCAUGGCAGCCUGGACUCUGGUUCUUAUGCAGAGUCCCUCACUGCUGAGUGGCCUUGGGCAAAUCAGUUUGUCUCUUAGAGUCUCAGUUUCCUCCUCUGUAAAAUGGGUGCUCAGACCCCUAACCUACUUACCUCAAAAGGUUGUCUGAAUAUAACCAAAGUAAGAGAAAAGGCAUAAGAAAGUACAGAGAUUCAGUAGAGGCUGUUACCAUUCCUUCCAAUAUGUAUUCACCGCUCCUGGACAGCUGUCCCGCCAAUGCCAAGCAUUGCUGUGGACAUGAGAUGCUGCUCAUGCUGUCAGGCCCUCCUGAGAUCCCAGUGCAGAGUAAGGGACCCAGCAGGAUAACGGUGAUGCAGGUGAUAAGGACAAGUGUGAAGGGGGCUAGGGGUUCCACCCUGGGGGGACGUGCUGGGAGCAGCAAGGAACAGCACCGAGGAGCCGGGAGAGACCACAGAGCAGGGCAGGUUAGCUCUGGGGAGUGGGUGUGGGUGUCACUCUCAUGGAAGGCUGUGCCAAGCCCAGGAAAGACUAGAAGCACGGGCAACAGUGGCCACCUUGUCAGUAGGACAAAAGCCAUGGGAUUUUCUGUCCCCUAUUAAUCCAAUUUCAAGCCUCCCAAACUGGUGUUCAGGCCAUUCAUUUGAGCAAUUCUUUUAAAAAUAACACCUGCACAUGUUUUUAAAGUUCAAGCACUACAAAAAGGCAUGAUAUGAAAAGUAAAAUUCUACCCAGCACCAGUGCCACCUACUACUUCUGUGUGUUGUUAUUCUAAGUAAUGUUCCUGAGACAGGCACAGUGACUCACGCCUGUAAUCCCAGCACUUUGGGAGGUCAAGGCGGGCAGAUUGCUUGAGUCCAGUAGUUCCAGACCAGCCUAGGCAACACGGCGGUUUCACCCAUCUCUACAAAAAUACAAAAGUUAGCCAGGCAUCGUGGUGUGUCCCUGUAGUCCCAGCUACUGGGGGGGCCGAAGUGGGAAAAUUGCUUGAGCCCAGGAGGUAGAGGCUGCAGUGAGCCGAGAUUGCAACAGCACACUCUAGCCUGGGUGACAGAGCAAGACCCUUCUCAAAAAAUCAAACAAUAAUAUAAAUAAAUAAAACUAUGCCCAUGUCUUCUGUGUCUGUACAAGAAGCAUAUGGCCCCACCUUGCAUGCCAAAUAAUGUCUGUGCCCCCAGAGGCACGGCUGCAUAGACUGUGAAUAUGUGCCUUUGAUGUCCGAAUGAGUUUGGCCUGUGGGAGGCAUUGCCAAGCUACUGGAGUAUGGGAGGAAUGUGAGGUUCAGUGUGUGCCCCUCGCUGGCUCCCCAUGUGUCACCAUUACUGGCUGUGUCCCUCUACUUAUGGCCAUGGCUUCAUCAGGCAGCCUCUCCUAGAGGUGCCUUAACUCCUAACCCUGCCCAUGUGUCUAUAAAUCUCUCCUGCGUUAAAGGCCCCUCAAUCACCCUGUGGCAGUGUCUGUGUGCCCUGCUGGGGCUGGGCCAGCAUGCAUCAGCAUUGCGGCUAUUCAGACUCUGUCAUAUUUCAAGAUGCAAAUGACAUUUCUUUUCUAAUUUGGACUGGUGCUUUCUAAACCUUUUGAAAAGUCACCUCGGAUUUCUUUUUUUAAUACCAUUGUUUUUAUGGUUAUAAUUGAUUAUGAUUAUGAUUCGGUUUCUUUCUUAUUUGCAGUAUAUCAUCAAGUAAUUUUUUUCAGUAAAAGUGCUUGGAAGAUAACCUUUCUGAGACUCUCCAUGUCUAAAAACAUCUUUAAUUUGCGGUCAUACUUUAUUGAUAGUUAUGAAAUUCUAGAUUCAAAAUGAUUUCUGCUCAGAACUUGAAGGUAUUGCUCCACUGUCAUCUGGCAUCUGGUUUUGCUAUGUUUGAUACUGACUAGAAUUGUAUUCCUUUGAAGGUGCUGUGGUCUGAGUAUUUGUGUUCCCUUGAAACUCACAUGUUGAAAUCCUAACCCCCACCAAGAUUGUAUUAGAAGGUAGGGCCUUUGGGAGGUCACGAGGUCACAUGGUAGAGCCCUCCUGAGUGGAUUUAUGCUCUUAUAAAGGAGGCAUCAGAGAACCCUUCAUCCCUCCCACCAUGUAAGGCCACAGGGAGAAAAUGCUGUCUUAGUCCAUUUGCAUUGCUAUAAAUAAUAUUUGAGACUGGGUAAAUGAUAAAAAAGGCUGGGUGCGGUGGCUCACGCCUGCAAUCCCAGCACUUCGAGAAGCUGAGGCGGGUGGAUCACGAGCAUAAGUUCAAGACCAGCCUGGCCAAUGUAGUGAAACCCUGUCUCUACUAAAAUACAAAAAUUAGUCAGGUGUGGUAGUGCGCACCUGUAGUCCCAGCUACUUGGGAGGCUGAGGCAGGAGAAUGGCUUAAACCUGGGAGGUGGAGGUUGCAGUGAGCCAAGAUCCUGCCACUGCACUCCAGCCUGGGUGACACAGUGAUACUCUCUUGAAAGAAAGGUUGUGGGGGAGGAAAGAAGGAAGGAGAAAGAGAAAGACAGAAAGAGAACACAAGAGAGAGAAAGAAAAAGAAAGAGAAUGAAAGAAAGAGAAAGAGAGAAAAGAGGUGUAUUUGGCUCACAGUUCUGCAGCUUGUACAGGAAACAUGGCGCCCGCAUCUGUUCCUGGUGAGGGUUCAGAAUGCUUCCACUUUUGGUGGAGGUGAAGGGGAAUCAUCAUGUGCAGAGGUCACACAGUGAGAGAGGAAGUGAGGUCAGGGGGAGGUGCCAGGCUCUUUUUAAUAACCAGCUCUCUAGGGAAUACACAGAGAGAGAACUCACCCCCUUUCUCCCAUAGAGGGCACUAAUCUAUUCAUAAGGGAUCCACUCCCUUGACCCAGACUCCUACUGCUAGGCCCCACCUCCCCAUUUCCACAUGAGAUUGGGAGGGGAGGGUCAAACAUCCAUCUAUGGCCAGCACCAUCUAUGAGCCCGAGAGUAGGCCCUCACUAGGCUGAAUCUGCCUGCUCCUUGAUCUUGGACUCCCUGGACUCCAAAACUGACAGAAAUACAUUUCUAUUGUUUUUAAACUACCCAGUUUAUGGUAUUUUUGUUAUCAUAGCUUUAGUGGACUAAGACAGAGGCUACCUGUUUUUUUCCUCUCUCUAAGACGCUUUUGGGAUCUUCUCUUUAUCCUUGAUGAUCUGAAAUUUUAUGGUGACUUACCUUGGUGUUGGCUUCAUUUAUUCAUUCUUCUAUUUGGUCAUCAUGUGAAGGAGAUUUCAUGCUUUUAUUUAGCUCUGAACAUUUUUUCUAUUACUUUUUGGGUUUUAGUUUUUUCUUGCAUUCUCAUUUCCCAGUCCCCUGUGCUCCGAGGCCGGCCACCUCACUCUCCCAUGCUCCAAGUCCAUCUCACUGGUGCUUUAUCCACUCGAGCACUGUCAUCCACAAGUCCAGCGGAGUUUCCUUGGAGUCCUGUGACCUAGGCGCUCCCCACCUUGGCCACCUGUAAGUUUUAGCGACCCUCUCAAGCAGCGCCCUGGCGCGGGGCUCUCCACUCCCAGGCCUCCACUGGGCUCUGAGUGAGCCAUGAAGCAUGCUAGGCAGGUGCUGUUCCCUCCGCUAGACCGUGAGCACUAUGGCAGUGGUAACCAGGCCUGUGUUGUCUGCAGACCCCCUGCCACCAGCACAAGGCCAGGCCCCAGGCACAGACACACUGUCUGAGUGCCUGGUCUAGAGCAGAUACACAGCAGAUAUGUAUUUGGGGAGGGGGCGCUCUCGGGCACCUCCUAGCCAUUGGCCAGCCUCCCUCGCUCUGGCCUGAGCUUCCUUCCUGCUCCUUCAAGAAUCCUGUUGGCUGUGGCUCCUAUUCCAAGGCCACUCUCCAGCCCCAGGCUCAGAGACAACCAUCCCUAGCUCAAGCACACUUCAGUUCAAACCAGUCCAACCCACAUUUGUCUAAGGGGAAAUGGAGUUGAUAGGCUGGAGUAAGUGGAGCCUCCAAGGUGGUCUCCAGGCCCAGCUAACACCAGGGUCUCUGCUGCCAGAGGGACCCUGCUCCUCGGCUUCUUGGUCUUACUUCACUCUACAUGGGGCUGUCUCAGCAGCUCCAGGCUUCACUGCUUGGUGCUGAUGGGCCCAACAGGGGUCCUGGCCAGCUGCUGGCUGAUCCUGCUAGUGUCAUAUGCUCAUCUCUGACCCACUCGUUGUGGCCAGGGGCAAGUGGGUCACUGGCAGCCAGGCCUGGGCCAGCCCUGGAAAGGGAGAAGAGUUGGCCUUGCAGAAUCUCACAGAGAGUGGGGAGGGAAGUCCCCAGCACAAAACCAGAGUGUUGUCAUUGUUACCAGAAGGGAACAGGGGGACACUGGUGAACAUACAGCCCGCCCCACCUCCCUGACUGCAGAGGAGGAAGCAGAGGGCACAGCAGCUCACUCGAAGCAGUGCUGGGUCCUCAGCAGAGCAGAAUUCAUACCCAUGUUUCCCCGCCUGCAGUCAUGCUGGUUCAGGGCUGGGCCUCCAAGGAUGUAGGACUUUAUCACAGAUGUGGGUAGGACUCAAGGUCCAGGGCUGUGAUACAGGCUGGUCUUCCAGGAGAGGCAGAGAUUUGGGAAGGAGGCAGCAUCCAGACCACCCUGGUGGAGCCAGCUCUGGAAGGGGAUGGCAGUAAGCAGCCUAGGAAUUCCUUCCACCACUGACACCCUCAGCCCGGUGAGGGGCUUCGGUCUGGCAGAGUUUCCCAGAUCCCAAGCCUCACAUCUUUGCCUCUGCCUUUAAUUGUCCCAUCCUCACUGCAAAUCACCUCACAGCCCUGUCUGGGGGAACCUUCUUUGGUUAGUGGCACACGUGGGGUACACUUCACAGCUAACAAAGGCCUUUGCAGAGGCCACCUGAGCCCUCAGGACAUGCUGAGAGGCCAUAUUCUGCUCUCCGCUCUGUAGAUAAAGACAUGCUAUUCAUGUCUUCAUCUACAGCAAGGCCCCAGGGCUGCGCGGAACACUUGCCUCUCAGAACCAUGCUGGCCUGUCCCAGUUUCCCUGAGCUGUGACUGAGCCCAUGGCAGGGGCCAGGACACUGCCCACUUCAAGGCUCCUGUGAAUGAGGUGCGGGGCUUUGUAGGGCGGCCUAAACCACCGCACCGUGAGUGCUGACCAGCCAGGCCCUGCUGUUCAUUGCAGCAAAAACUACUCCCAACCCAGAAAAUGACAAGGUAGUGGGGAUUUGGGAGAAUCUGCUACCUCCUCUGUAGAGAAGCUUUGAGACCCCAAAAAGGGGGAGGAUAUAGAGAGGGACCCCUUAUAAGGCAGGAAAUGGAAGCCUGCAGGAAGAGCUGGGUCAGGACACAGCUGAGGCACAUGGAGGGCAGCACUGCCUGGCACCCACUUGUCCCCACAUUGGCUGCCACAGGGUCCUUACUGUCCUUGCACCCACAUGACUGUAGGAGGCUGCUUCCCCCUGGCCUGGGAGUGAGGAGCAGAGGGUCAGGGUCCUGGAGGUCCCAGCAGUGACCAGUGGCUAGGUGGGCACAGGCCAGCCACUGUGAGGAGCCAGAACACAGUCCUCAUGCUGGCACAGAGACAUAAAAGAUCAAUGUCUUAAAUAGGAGACAGUCUCUCUGCCCCUGGCCUCCUACCUGCUGAGUGUCACAGAUGGGGAUGUCGACCCAGUGCAGGGGCCCAGACUCCCACCUGUGGCUCUGCCAUUGCUCAGUCACAGCCCUCACUCAUGUGGCCCAAGAUGACUCAACCAUACACGGGCUCCAGACCCUGGAGAGAGGAAGGAGGGAGGGAGGGCACAGUACUGCUCUAUAAGGGAACCUGGCAGAAGGAGCCACUAUCAGCCCAGGGUGUGAUGUCUCUCUGCCAGUGGGUUGGGAGCCCAGAGACCUGCAAGCUAAGCCCUGCUCUAACUGGCUGCAGAGAUCUGAGCACGUCACCACCCGCCACUGGUCUCUGUUUUCUCCUCUGCACCAAGAGUUUAGCCAAAACAACCCUUGGGGGUCUUGAGUGGAGGACUCUUAACUUACAACUCUUUGGGGGCAGAUGGGAGAAUGCCUUAGGGAAGGACAGAUGGUUUGGGUUGCUAGGGUUCCCUGGCUGUGGCAUGAGGCAGCGGCCUGGCCAUGGAUAUAGCCCUGGAACUUCCAAGCUUUCUUGGAAAAACAUCUGUGGACCACCAGAUAAUACAAUGGGCAACAUUACUGAGUGCUUCCUGUAUCCCAGGCACAUAGCUCAGAGCUAACAUUCGAGCAAUUACUGAAUGCUGGACACUGUUCCGAGUGCUCUACAAAGUCCACCUCACCUAACACAUCAUCUCCCUUGAGGUAGGGGCUAUUGCUAUUGCCAUGGGCAUAGUGAACCUGUAAAACAAGAACAAGCUGCCAUGAAAAAGGAGCACUCAGAAAAUGAGAGAUGAUUCCUGGAAAUGUAAUACUUGAUGGUAUCCAUGCAAACUCAGUCCAAAGACUGAACAGCAGAAUGGACAUACGCAAGGAGCCAAAUAAAAAUGACAGAUGGAAAUCAUGGGAAUAUUCCACAGCCAAAGCCUUAGUGUCCAUGGGAAAGGCACUGAGUUCCCAUUCAGAAGGGAAGACAGGUCCAAAUCACCUCCCCAGCCCCAGCCUGUCCUCCCCAGCUGAAUCUGGCUGGUGGGCAUUGAUGGGUGACAGGGAGUUAAUGAGUCACUCCUGCCUGGUUAAAGUCCUCAAAGUUUAACGCAUGUUUUUCAGGCCAACCUUGGGCCUGAAGUUCCUAUCCCCUUUCCCCAAGGUGCCUGUCCCGUAAAUCCAGCAGGCUGGGGUCACUGGCUGUCACUCAGCUCCAAGCUGUUCACAAGGAACCAAGGGGGGGCUAUGGCUCAGCACAUGAGGGUAAGCUUCACACACAAGGAGGGGCCUCAGAGGGCAAUGAGAUGGCACCAUCUACCCAGCAUGAUGCCAGGCACUUCCACACUGUCAGGACAUCAGCCCAAGUAGAGUGAAGACAGAGCAUGCAAACGUCCUGUCCUUGCACUGGGAAACCUUCAACCUCAUCAUUGAUCAAAGAAACACAAAUGCAAACAUGAUAUUAUUUUAAUCCUACUGACAGGGCUAUUCUAGAGUUAUAACACUGUUGGAAAUAGGUUAAAUAGGUACAUUUCCAGAAAAUGACCUUGCAUGAUAUGUAGAGCCCUGAGCCAGUAAGUCUAUGUUCAGAAACUGAUUCAAAGAAAUUCAGAUUUGCAGCCAGAUUUAUGCACAGACUUGUACUUUCCAACAUGACUUGCCAUUGAGAAAAAAUGAAAACUGGUUGAUGACCAACAGAUGGAAAACUGGCCAUAAACUAUGUCCCGUGUACCCCAUGGAACAUCAUUUAACUGUUUAGAUCAGGUUUUUAAUACUACCUCAUGAAAAUUAAAAGUCUGUAUGGUAGUCCUAUCUAGGAAUUAUUCUAGAUAUGAUUAUGCAAGGAAAAUUUAUUUAUAGAAAAAAUGAAAAAGAAAUCAAUAAGAAAUAUUUAAGUGAAUGAUUUUUCAAAUAUUUAUGUUGAAUAGUGGGAUUACAAGUGCUCUUUCUUUUUAGCAUUACAUAUGUCACUUUUUCAGAUUUUUUACAAUGAACAUAUUAUAAUUUUACUUUUAUAACCAGAAAAAAAUAUGGUUUGCUUUAUGCUUGUUUUGUGUGUUAUUCUGCAAUAGUUUUUCUGUAAAUUUACUCACUGACCAAAGUAUCAGAAUAUACAGACAAGUAUAAGAAGAAAAAAGUUAUUGAUAACCAUAUUAUUGUUAAUAUUUUCUGGCUAUAUUACAAAAAUGGGAACACAUCAUACAUAAGUGUUUCAGAGGCUUUUUAAAAAAUUAUGGUUAAAGACACAUUAAAAAAUGUAGCAUCUUAACCAUUUAUGAGUGUACAGUAGGGUUAAGUAUAUUCACAUUGUUGUACAACCAAUCUCCAGAACAUUUUCAUCUUGCAAAACUGAAACUCUGUCCCCAUUAAACCAGUUCCCAUCCCUCCUCCCCCAGCCCCUGGCAACCACCAUUGAACUUUCUGUCUCUAUGAAUUUGACUGCUCUAGAUACCCCAUAUAAGGGGAAUCGUUCAGUAUGUGUCCUUUUGUGUCUGGUUCAUUUCGCUUAGUGUACUGUCCACAAGGUUCACCCAUAUUGUAGCAUGUGUCAGAAUUUCUUUCCUUGUCAAAGCUAAAUCACAUGCCACUGUACAGACCACAUUUUGUUUAUCCAGUCACUCAUUGAAGGACACUUGGGCUGCUUCUGGAGCUUUUUUAAAACAGAACAAUAUAUUGGUAUAUCAUUUCUAUAUUUUUUUCUAUGGCAAUAAUAAUCCAUUAAUAUCAAUCACCUUUAAAGGUUGCCCAGUGAUCCAUAGAGGUAGAUGCUUUGUAAUUGAUUCAGCCAAUCCACACUUGGAGAACAUGUAUAUUAUUUCCAGUUUUUUACUCUCAUAUGCAAAACUGCAAUACAUGGUCCUGGGGCAUAUGUCUUUGUAUGUUGGUCCUCCUAUCUGUUAAAGAGAAUUUCAAAGUGGGGUUUGUGCAUCAGAUGUUCUCGGGUUAUUUGUGACCCUGUUGCCCUCUGAACCUUACAUUCAUGCAGACCUCUGCAUCCAUGAUUUGCUGUCCUCAUGGUCCUUGUCACCACUGGGUGGCCUCACUUUAAAAACUGACACUUCUUUCUGUCAAUUUUUGUCUAUAUGACAGGUAAAAAAAAGUCAUUGUAUUCAUUUACAUCUCCUUGAUAAUCAGUAAAGUGGAAGGUUAAUUCAUACUGUUGAAAUAUUAAACAGGCAGAUGGGCUUUCCUUGUGUAGGGCCUGUUCGGGCCUGUGCUUCCUAGAGGAGUCUUGCCCAUUUCCUUGCUGAGGUGCACGAACUGCUUGCCUGGGAAAGACCCUCACACCCUGCCUGGAUCUGCAGCCAGCAAUUGUUUUGGAGUUGCAGAAUUUGUUGUAUUUCCAUAGUUGUAUUUCCAAAUGUAGUGAUGGAUUCUGCCUUUGGUGUCCUAUUUAGAACCCCUCUGCUUCAAGGUUUUAUGUGUAUCUAGUCACAUUUUCACUGAUGUCACAUGGUCAUGCUCACCUGGGACUGUCAUGGUUUAAUGUUAUCACCAACCGCUUUCAUGCAGCUUUAAUUUAGUCUGACGGCCAUGUGCUGAGGUCAGAUGUAAGAUGUGUCUAAAGCCAUCACCAGGCCAGCCCCGGUUGCCCGCCUUCCCUCAGCACCAUCCCCACAAUGCGUGAGACCUUUACACUGUCCCCACCUGCAAGAAAAGAAAGACCGUCUGCCACCCAAGACUGAGCCUCUCUGCACAGACUUGUCUGGAGGCCUUUGCUGUUUACAGGAGGACCCAGGAGAAGAUACCAGGUGUGGGGGUCCUGUGGCUGGGAUUCCAGGCACCACUGUUUUCCCUAGUAAUGGAGGAGCCACCAUGGGAUGAGGGGCUCUAUGCCUCCCCAACAGUCGGAUCAGUGAGUACCUGCUCCCCCCAUGCCCGGAGAUGAAUCAUUAUCGGUACUAUCAAACUGCAGCCAGUCGAUUGCAAACCCACUGCCUCCUUCAGUCCUCACAGGAGGCUUUGCUGCUUGAGUUCUAGGGAAGGAGCUGAGAGAACCCAAGAACACAGAGGGACUUCGGUGACAUAGCCACAGAGCAUAGAGGUAGGGCCAGGCUCUCACAGCAGCUGCCACUGCACUUUCUGCUUCAGGGACAGCCAAGCCCCGGCUGUCAGGUGGGAGCCUUGGUAGACCCUGCAAGCUGUCAGGGCUGCCUGGGCAGACUGAGGAGCCAGGCCAGGCACACCAGGGCAGAGAGCAGGCAAGGAGUUUGUAAGCCUGAAACCCGGGACCCUCAGCUGUCCCUAUCCAUACCCGAUCCUGGAUCCCAGCCCCCAGCCCCCAGCCCAGAGCCCAGAGCAUGCACAUUCCUGGGAGGUUCUUCCCUGACAUCCCCCUGUUCCUGGCUACAGACAUAGUUCAUACACUCAUCCACCCAACAGGCAUGUAUUGAGUACCUACUGUAUGACUGGUACUGUUCUGGCAACACAGCCAUUCCCCACAGAGGUGGGGGCCUACCUUCUGGGAUUUUGUACUCCAGUGUGGGAUAUACAAGGGGCUCUGUGCAGGGAUUAGAGUAGUCUCAGUGGUACUAAGUGCUAGGACAGCUCUUUGUGGAGGCCCACGGCAUCCCAGCCCAGCCUGAGCCAGGCCCAAGGGCAGGGAGCACAGCACAGUCUUUGUCCUCCUGAACAUUCCAACCAGACAAGCAGGGAGGCAGAGGGAAGCUGCUUCAGGUGGGCUGCGUGGGGAGGGCCUCUUCACAGAGGUGCUGCUGGAGCUGAGAAGGAGCUGUCUUGAGAGGAGCCAGGGAAAGGUGAGCCGUGUGAAGGCGGGCUGGGGUGGGGAAGUGCCUGCACCCCAGAGGUUCUGCAGGAUGCUGAGGCUGAGAGCAGCAGUGGGAGAUGAUUGGGAGUUGUGGAAGCUUCGAGGAGGGCCGGGGGUCCCAACAGGCAGGACACGUCCCACAGUGAGCAAUCACCUGGCUCAAUCCACAUGUGUCUUCUGGCAAUGCAAGCAUCACACCAUGAUUCUUGCAGGCUCCUGUGGUGGUGUAAGCCCCAGGGCACAGCUUCCAUGCAUCUCUGCCCUCCUUCCACAAAGCAGGGGUGCAGCCAUGCAGCGAACCAUCCUGACUCACGGAGGGGCAGCAACUGGCAACUCAACAACACUGUUAUAGACCAGAGUAAAGAUUUUUGUUUGUAUUCUCAGAGCCACGGGAAUCCACUGACAUGUUUCAGCAAGAGAGAGACUAGAUCCGGCUUCAGUGUUUUAAAAGAUUGCUCUGCUGCCAUGUGCAAAAGCGCUGCUGAGCACACCCAGGCACACCAUGGUGCAGCUACAGUAGCCAAAAUGUGGAGGCACCUGAGUGUCCAUCAGUGGAUGAAGAAGCCAAAUGUACUCUGUCCACACAGUGGAACGUGACCAGCCUUAGGAAGGAACUUUGUCAGUGCGCAGCAUGGAUGAACCUUGAGGACACGGUGCCGACAGAAAUAAAGCAGGCACAGAAGGACAAGUCCUAUGCGAUUCCUCUUUUUGCGAGGUCACUGGAGCAGUCAGGUUCACAGACACGGAGAGUGGAAUGGUAGUCACCAAGCUUUGGGGGAGUCUGUGUUUAAUGGGGACACUUACAGUUUUACAAAGGGAAAAAUUCCUGUGGACGGAUGGCGGUAAUGGUUGCACAACAGUGUGAAUGUGCUUAAUGCGCUGAACUGUUCACUCAAAACUGAGGAAGACAAUCAUUUCACUUAUGGGAUUUUACCACAGUUUAAAAUAAAACAAAGACUGUCGGGAGGUAUCAGGCGGUGCCCCCCGAGGAGAGGCCAGCACACUAGAGCAGGCCGAACAGAACAAAUGUCAUACCAGGGCCCGUGACAGAGGCAGGUAGGUUAGAAGGUGGAGUUCCCAGAGCCCCAGGAAUGGAGGCUCCCACCCCAUCCAGAGGCCUGGAGGAGCUGCGGGCAGGAGCUGUGGGCAAGGCAGAUAGGUGGAUGCACAGGAGCCACCCAACAGGCACUGCUGGAACCUCGCCCAGGCAUAGGAGAGGCAGCCAGGUGCCCUGAGCUCUCUCUGCUGCCCCAAACCCAGCGUGACCGUGCCUCCUAUUGAUGGAAACAAACCAGAAGUUGGUGUGGGCUGUCCUAGAGAUCAGCCUCAGGACACUGGGGGCCAGGACAGGGCAGCCCAGGGAGAUGAGCAGCACAGGAGACAGAUGGGAGCCAAGGGAGUGGCGGCUCUACCUGGUAGUGGCCAUGGAGAUGCAAAUGGCCUUGAGCACAUAUUUUGGAGACAGAACCUCAGGACUAGGAACGCUGGACAUGGUUGAGAAACAGGUUUUGUUUUGCCUUUCUUUGGUAACUCUGAAAAGCAAAAGGUGCUAGAGAGAGGCAGGGUGGAGUGAAGAGAGACCAGGUUUCAAGGCAGACAGGCCUGGAGCCACGAGGCUCCAGCACAGACCUGAGGGCAGGGAUGUUCACGGUAUCUAACCGCGGGAGGGCCCAGGUGCUGCAGAGGGAUGGGGCGGAGAUGUCCCCCGUUACUGGCUAUGGGACGCCCAGAGAUCCCCAAGGAGGGCCAACAACUACAGUUGCUGGGAGUUGGGGCAUCUGGUGGGUUCAGGCAGUGCCCUUUACCCAGGCUGGAAUAUUUUCCUGGCUGCUCCAUCCAUGCCAGGGUCUCCUGGGUGUGUCACCAGAAGAGUGGGGAAGUCAUGCUCAUAUAUUCUAAAGACAAGGGAAAGACUUAGUGGUGGCCCAUGGGCUUAGGCCACCACCUAGAGCCUAUAGGAAACAGGAAGAACUGGACACUCCUCUCUCCCUGCCCUGCCUGCUCUGGGAAAGGGCUCUGGGAAGGGCUGAGUCUGCACUUCGCACAGUCUCUACAUGUCACUGGUCAGGCCAGGGCUGUUUCCAGCUGCUCAUUUAGAAAAGUGUAGUCAGAACUGUCAAGAAAAUCAAUGAAGACAAGAAUAAAAUAGAAAAGGAAAGGUAAGAACACAGCAGAGCUCAUCACGGUGCAAGGGAGGCGGUGUCCACUCUCCUUUCGGACUUAGGACAGAGAAUGAGUUUCUGAAUUCUGGUUACAACCUUGUAGUGCCUUGAGAAGUUGCUGUGUUUGUGGGCAAGGGUCUCGGCUUCUCUUUGCCAUCUGCACCCAGCGCCCUGCACCCACUCUCCUGACCUAGCCCCCCAACCCCCUACCUGAGAGCUCUCCCUCUCCCUCUAGCUUUUGCCUCCCCUGGCUCAAUGCAUCAUCCUACAGUGCUGAGUCCUGAUGUGAGGACCACAGGGGCAGAAUCAUGCUGAACCUCUAGCCCCUUUCCUUCUGCAAUGCCAGGAUGUGCCAGCAGCCCUGCACCAGCUCUGCCUCCUCCUGUCAGGCGGUCAUCCCUGUGGGCCAGGCCCUCUACUCUGCUCGGGGUCACCAGAGGUUCUCUGGGCCUGCCCAGGCCUGUGGAUCAUCCUGCCUGGGAACAGUCAGCCACCUUCCCCCACCAGCCUCAGGCCAUCCUCAUUCCUCAAGGCCUUGACCGCUUCAGCCACCUAGAAAUGGGCCUUUAUCUGGUCCGGGUCCUGGCUGGGACUUUUGUUCCAUGCCUCUGGCUACUUCUUGCAAAAGCAAAUGUUUCUCAUACAGCAUUGGGCACUUUGCCACUGUUGGAGAGGCCAGAAAAAUUCAGGGGCUCGAAGGGCUAGAGCCUCAGAAGUCAGAUGUGGUCUGUGGUCUCUGCACUCGGGAGUGCGACUCUUCCCAUGCAAUGACUUGAGAACGUGUGACUGUAUCAGAUUCAGCUGGCGGAUUGGCAGGAAGGUUAAUAAGACAGUCUUGAGUUUCACUCCCAGACAGGCGGAGCCAGGGACCCAGGAAUCUGCAUUUGCAGGAGACACUCAGCUAAUUCUGAAAUUCCUAGUUCAGUCAAUCUUCAUGCAGAGUCACGGUUGUGUGCCAACUAUUGUCGGGUAGUCAGGCCGUGUCCAUGAACAGACGAUGACUUCUGACUUCAGGAAGUUUGUAUUCUGUGAGGGGAAGGUAGAAAGCAAGAGAUAGAUUCAGGCAGUAAGUGACAGGGAGUGUCAGAGGGAAAGAUGAGAAGUGAUCGUGGACAGUGGCAGUGCUGGGGGUGUCAGGCUAGAGCCGUGGGCUGCAAUGUGGAGCAGGCUGGUGAGAGCAGCCCUCACUGAGAAGGUGACUGAAGUCUUGGAGGUGGAGUACGGGGAGAGGAAACAGGUCGUGCAAGGGUCUUGAGGCUGUGCAAGGGUCCUGAGGCAGCCUAGUGUAACUGAGAGGCAGAAGGAGCCAGUACGGCUGCAGUGGCACAGGGAGAGUGAAGAGAGGGUGAGGCCAGAGAGCCUGUGGGGGAUGUGACACUGAGUGAGUUUGAGCUGUUGGAGGGUUUUGAGCAGAGAAAUGACGUGGUCUGACAUGUCUUCAGAGGACCCCUCCCUCUUGGCCCACCAAGAACAGAAUCUGGGUAUAGGGUCGGGGAGGAUAAAGCAGAAGCCAGAGACCAGCUGGAGACUUUCUGUAACUAGGGCAAGGGCGUGUGAGACGAGUGACAGCCACAAUUCGAAUCUAACAGGAUCCUGCCUGGGAUGGACUGCUCAGCUGGGCCAAGUUCUAUUCCAAGUGCUUCCCCAGUAUUAACUCAUUUAAUGCUUACCCAGCUCUGUAAGCAGGCACACUCAUUGUCCUGUUGUAUAGAGAAGGAUAUGGAGGCACAGAGAGGGUGAGUUACUCACCCUGGGCCACACAGCUAGAAGAUGACAGAGCCAGGAUUUGAAUCAAGUAGUCUGAAGCCAGAGCCCAGGCUCUUAAAGAGCCACACUUUUCCAACAGAAAAGCACAAGCCAUAACCUGAGGGAGGGUGUUUGUUGAGAAAAGAAAACACUGGGCCCUGGAUCCAGGAGGGGCCAUCAGAGGGACAAGAGGGCCACUCCAGUCUGACUUUGGGUGGUCCCGACUGUACCUCUCCUGGCAGUUUGGGCUCUGGCAGGUCCCUGGGCCUCCCCAUGUCUCCAUUUUCCCUUGUGGGAUUUGGAGCCAUGACGAGGCUGCCUGGUGGGGGUGGCAGGGGCAAGGGAUGGGCUGGGCACCAGGUGCUCAGGAAGGUGCCUUAGCCCGGCCAUCCCCACAGCAAGGGCCAGAGGUGGCCUGACGAGCAAGAGAGGCAGGGCUGGGGAUGGGAUGGCCUGGCAGGGGCUGGGGAGCCCUGGGCCCCAGGGCCAAGAGGAGCCAUGACAGGCAGGAGUGGCCACAGCAGUGGAGCUAUGUCAAGGGUCUCCAGGGGGACAGUGGCCUCCCAGGAAGCAGAGGAAGCAGGGGUGGAGGCCCCAGACACAGAGGCCUGCUCAGAGGCUGGCCGGCGAGUGGACUUCCUGGGCCUGAACCUCUCUAGGCUCUGUUUCCUCAUCUGUAGAAUAGAGGAGCAAAAUGCUGGCUCUACCGGAAAUCCUCCUGGUCAGGAGGACGCGGCUAGCAGGACACGGCCUCCUGCUGCAAACACCAGACAUGCUCUGCCGGCUGGGAACCUGCCCCUGUGGUGCUGUGAAACACGAAAUCCGUCUGUUUUGCUCUUUUCCCCCAAGGGUUCUGGUCCCUCCAAGGCUGUAAAUCUGAAGCUUGCAUCUUUGGAAGUAACUUUUAUUUUCUGCCAGGAAGCUUCUGGGGGUUGGCAUUUUUCUCCGAGAUGCGUAACAAUGCCCCAGCUGUGGCUGCUGCCGAGCUUUCAUGUGCAUUUUCCUCAGUUCAGAGGAGGGUGCUCUCUAACCCCAGCCGGCUUCUUCACUCCCCUGUGGGAUCGUAGCUGGUACAUUUCAACCAUGUGUUUUGCCCUACAGGGGAAGUCCUCUGCUAGCUAUGUGGAGUGCCAUCCUUCCCAUGGUGCAUCUGGAGUCUUUGUCAAGUUCAUCUCCCAUGUUCACAAAUCCAUCAGUUUUCCCAGGGUUGUGGCUGAACUCUAUGGGUGUUUCUUUUCAUCCUCCCUACUGAUGUGCAAUGGGUUUGAGGCCUACUUUUCUCUCACUGAGUAAUGAGAUCCAUCAUCUUCUGAUACUUGCUCCUGACUCACCCAGUGCACGUGUUCCUAGCAGAGAAAGAAGCGUUUUCUCUUUGCUCUCAUUGAAUCAUUUCUCUGAUAACCGCCUGUGUGCCAGGCACUAUAUCAUGCCCUGAGGUAUGCCUUUCCCAAGCGACCUCAUCAGUGUUUGUGGCUUUUAUUCCACCUGUUGGGUAGUGACUUCCAAAUCUCUGACUCCUGCCAGGAUCUGUCCGCUGAAUUCCAAUCACGAAUCCAGCCACCUCUCUGCUACCUCUGUGUGGGUGUCUCUCAGGCACUCUCCCACGCUAGCAGCCUCACCCCUAAUAUUUGUGAAACCCAGGGCAAGAGUAAAAUGGAGUCUAUGGCCCUUCCCUUCCUGCCCUGGCCCCAUUUAGAGCUACUAAGGUCUCACUCACACAUUUGCGGACACCCCAGGCUGAGUCCAUGCUGUGUCCACAUCGCCACCGCACCCCUUGGCUUCUCCUGGGCCUAAGGGGGUGCAGACUCCAGCACUGGGGAUGAGUAGCAGAGGCUGGUGCAGAUCUUGAAGACAGGCUCCUAGUUGUCUGCACAGGGGACUCUGAAGUCCAGAAACCCGACUUUUUCUCCAACACUCUCACCUCAUGACCCCAUGCCUGAUGCAUGGCCUUCUCCUACAAAUUCCCUUUCAUCUCUUCCCUCCCCAGUGCCUCCAUCUUGGUUCCAGUCCUCUCCUCCCUAUCCAGACCACAGAGCAGUGGCGUCCAUAUGGACCAUUGUCCCCGCAAUUUGCUUGGAUUUUUAUAAUGUUAAUUAAGUUGUCACUCAGUGGUUUUCCAUUGUAUGUGGAAACACACAGACUCCUCAUCAUGACCUCAAUGGCCAGAAGGCCUUCUAAAGAGCUGCCACUGAAGGUGAAGUCUAAGGGCCAAUGGAGAGCUGGCCAGUGGGCCUAGAGCGGUGGCUCAUACCUGUAAUCCCAACACUUUGGGAGGCUGAGGCAGGUGAAUCACCUGAGAUUUGAGACCAGUCUGGCCAAUAUGGAAAAAUUCCAUCUCUACAAAAAAUACAAAAAUUAGCCAGAGGAGGUGGCACAUGCCUGUAAUCCCAGCUACUUGGGAGGCUGAGGCAGGAGAAUCACUUGAACCUGGGAGGUGGAGGUUGCGGUGAGCCAAGAUUGCACCACUGCACUCCAGCCUGGGUGACAAAGCAACUCUCUCUCUCUCUCUCUCUCUCUCUCUCUCUCUCUCUCUCUCUCUCACACACACACACACACACACACACACACACAGCUGGCCUGGCAAGAUCAGGGUGACUGAGGCUCUAGAAGGGAAGAAACAAGACUGACAGCCCAGCCAUAGGGACCCUUGUGGUCACCAAACCCGUCCUCUUGCUCUGCUGCAGUCCCAUGGGCCAGGGCAGAUGCAGUCUGGCCUUAAUUCUGUGCAGCUCCUCCUAUGCAGACAUGGAGUCUUCCAUCCCCUUGGAUAUGGGCUGGCCUGUGACUUGCUUUGGUCCAUAGUUUGUGGCAAAAGCCAAGUUGAACCUCUCUGAGAUGCAGUCUGGUCAACAUGGUGAAACACUAUCUCUACUAAAAAUAUGAGAAUCAGCUGGGUGUGGUGUCAGGCACCUGUAAUACCAACUAUUCAGGAGGCUGAGGCAGGAGAAUUGCUUGAACCUGAGAGGCGGAAGUUGCAGUGAGCCAAGAUCACACCAUUACACUCCAGCCUGGGCAACAAAAGCAGAACUCUGUCCCUCCCACCAAAAAAAAAAAAAAAAAAAAGGAAGAAGAAAGUGACUGCCAGGUGUGGUGGCUCACGCCUGUAAUCCCAGCACUUUGGGAGGCCAAGGCAGGUGGAUCACAAAGUCAGUAGUUCAAGGCCAGCCUGGUCAACAUGGAGAACCCGGUCUCUACUGAAAAUACAAAAAAAUUAGCCAGGUGUGGUGGUUGGUGCCUGUAAUCCCAGCUACUCAGGAGGCCGAGGCAGGAGAAUUGCUUGAAUCCGGGAGGCGGAGGUUGCAGUGAGCCAAGAUCAUGCCACUGCACUCCAGCCUGGGUGACAGAGAAAGACACCGUAUAAAAAAAAAAAAGAAAGAAAGAAAGUUUUUGGCAUCCAUCCACAGGGGUUGUAAAGAUUAAUGACAAUAAUAUAAAGAAUGAAACAGCUGAAAAUGACAAUAGAAUAAAAUAGGACCCAGACACAGGCCAUGGAGAUACAUAUAUGUAUAUAUAUACACAAACACAUACAUACGUAGAUGCUUAAUAUAUGGCACCAAUAAAAAUGCAUACCAGAGGGGAAAGGAUAGACUUUUUAUUUGAGAUGGAGUCUCACUUUGUCACCCAGGCUGGAAUGCAGUGGUGCAAUCUUGGCUCACUGCAACCUCCACCUCUUGGAUUCAAGUGAUCCUUGUGCCUCAGCCUCCUGAGUAUUUGGGAUUACAGGCAUGUGUCGCCACGCUUGGCUAAUUUCUGUAUUUUCUGUAGAGACAGGGUUUCGCCACGUUGGCCAGGCUGUUCUCAAACUCCUGGCCUCAAGUGAUCUGCCCAUCUCAGCCUCUGGGAUUACAGGCAUGAACCACCGUGCCUGGCCCCAGGAUAGAAUUCUUUAUAUAUGGCAGGCAAUUGCUUACCCAAAUGGAGAAAAAGUGAAAUCACACUUCCACUUCUGGCUCAUACUGUGCACAAAAGUAAUUUCCAGGUGAAUUAAAGACCAAACUAUAACAGGCAAAUCUGUAAGGUUUUUGGAAAAUGAAGAUAUAUAUCUGACAAAGGACAAGUAUCUGCGGGACAUAAAGCACUCCUGCAAAUCAGCAGGACAAAGACAAGUAACCCAAUAGGAAGUGCACGAGACUUCAAGAGACGCUUCAAAAAAAGAGGAAAGCUCAGAGCCAAUAAGCAGGUGGGAAGAUGUUUGGCCUUACUGUCAACAGGGACAUGCAAAUUAAAGCCACAAUGAGGCAGGACUCUCCCAACAGAGCGGCAAAAAUGGAAAGGCUUGGCAAUAGAGUCUCGUCAAAGAAGUAAAUAGAAGUCUCCACUGGUAGAUUGUAAUAAGUACAAGCAGUUUGGAAGACAGAGUGAUGUUAUCUAGCAACACUGAACACAUGUACCUCUGAUGACUCAGCAGGUUCACUCGAGAGUUUGUGCUCAAGAAAAAUCCUUCUUUCUGCGCAUCAGGAGACAUGUGCACAAUUGGUUUUAGAAGCAUUUUUUUUUAAAAAGGAAAAAACGGGACACAAGCCAAUGUCAUCAACAGUAAAAGGAACAAAUAAAUUUGGCUCUAUUGGUACAAUGCAAUCCUACUAUGCAGCAAUGAUGAUGGAUAAGCCCCAGGCACACAUCAGUGUGGAUGGAUUUCACAAUACUGAGCAGAGGCAGCCAGUCCCUGGAGAGUAAGGGCAAAUGAUUCCAUUCUAUGAAGUUCGCCAGUAAGAAAAGCCAAGCAAGUUGCUGUUGAAGAACACAUACGUGGAGGGGGACGUGGGAGCUCCUAAAGGAGAAUGUCCAGUUUUUACGACCUUCAUUGUUGUUUCAUUGGGAUUUUUUUACACCCAUAAUGUAUUCAUGCAUUUCUUAUCUAUUUUUGCAAACAGCAUUUUGGAGAGACUGUGAAUCUAUGUUUGGGUUUGCAAUUGGCUCACAUUGGGGUUGGAUGAGUUUGUUGCCAUCAGUUUACCAGGUUCUCUAAUUAGCAUCCAGUUAGUAAUGGAGUUUGCACUAAAAGACCUUAUCAGAAUUGGGGUAGACACCUUGGGUUAGGGUUUGGGGAAGAAUGGGUUCAAAAUGUGAGCCUGAAUCAAAAUUUGGAAUAAAUUUGGAUCUAAUGAAGCCAAGGCUAGGGUGGGGCUGGAUUUGAAGUCGAUGUUGGGCGGGUCAGCCCUGUAAUCCUAGCACUGGGACUUGCCAAGGCAAGAGGACCGCUUGAGGCCAGGAGCUCAAGACCAGCCUGGACAGUAUAGCAAGACUCUGUCUCUAUUAAAAAAAAAUACCAAAAUUA
Non-coding RNA from Callithrix jacchus (white-tufted-ear marmoset), 21809 nucleotides. NCBI's taxonomy places the organism in Eukaryota, Metazoa, Chordata, Mammalia, Primates, Cebidae. The record is from RefSeq and is a predicted model, not a curated record.